Molecule: ribosomal RNA, 482 nt
Filed under: uncultured bacterium
Lineage: Bacteria
Description: bacterial SSU rRNA
Rfam family: Bacterial small subunit ribosomal RNA
Source: RNAcentral
UUGAACGCUGGCGGCAUGCUUUACACAUGCAAGUCGAACGGCAGCACGGGGGCAACCCUGGUGGCGAGUGGCGAACGGGUGAGUAAUACAUCGGAACGUGUCUUCAAGUGGGGGAUAACGCAGCGAAAGCUGUGCUAAUACCGCAUAAUCUCUGAGGAGAAAAGCAGGGGAUCGCAAGACCUUGCGCUUUUGGAGCGGCCGAUGUCUGAUUAGCUAGUUGGUGAGGUAAAGGCUCACCAAGGCAUCGAUCAGUAGCUGGUCUGAGAGGACGACCAGCCACACUGGAACUGAGACACGGUCCAGACUCCUACGGGAGGCAGCAGUGGGGAAUUUUGGACAAUGGGGGCAACCCUGAUCCAGCCAUGCCGCGUGAGUGAAGAAGGCCUUCGGGUUGUAAAGCUCUUUCAGCCGGAACGAAACGGUCACGGCCAAUACUCGUGACUAAUGACGGUACCGGAAGAAGAAGCACCGGCUAACUACGU